Molecule: non-coding RNA, 86 nt
Organism: Aspergillus terreus NIH2624
Lineage: Eukaryota; Fungi; Ascomycota; Eurotiomycetes; Eurotiales; Aspergillaceae
Source: the annotation of a RefSeq genome assembly
CCCCUGAUGGUCUAGUUGGAUAUGACGUCUGACUGUAAUUGAAGCAUUUCAUCAGAAGGUCGCUGGCUCGAUUCCGGCUCGGGGGA